UUCUUAUCAAGAGCGGUGGAGGGACUGGCCCAAUGAAACCCGGCAACCCGCAUCGUACAAGAUGCGAAGGUGCCAAUUCCUGCAGGACGAAAUGUCCUGAGAGAUAAGAA
This 110-nucleotide non-coding RNA is filed under the name Fervidicola ferrireducens. RNAcentral describes it as "SAM-I sequence". It matches the Rfam family "SAM riboswitch aptamer (S box leader)". From Rfam's summary of the family: The SAM riboswitch is found upstream of a number of genes which code for proteins involved in methionine or cysteine biosynthesis in Gram-positive bacteria. Lineage: Bacteria; Bacillati; Bacillota; Clostridia; Thermosediminibacterales; Thermosediminibacteraceae. The record is from Rfam by way of RNAcentral.